Papaver somniferum (opium poppy) is the source of this 3271-nucleotide long non-coding RNA. RefSeq lists it as uncharacterized. The record is from RefSeq and is a predicted model, not a curated record. Lineage: Eukaryota; Viridiplantae; Streptophyta; Magnoliopsida; Ranunculales; Papaveraceae. The transcript is spliced from 2 exons.
UCUAAUCAAUAUUAUCAAACCCUUUAUCAAUGUAGACAUAUGAUUUUCACUAUGUUAUCAGACUCAUAAAUUUUAAUUUCUGAGGGUUAUCGAUCCUUUCCUGUGAUUUCUUCACCAUCACCACCAUUAUUUCUCCACCACCACCACCACCGCCACAUCAUUAUUUCUUCAUCUUCUUAACCACAAUCAUCAAAUCUCUUCAUCACCUUCUGUUGUUGCUGAAAUUAGAGAGUUGAAUUAUGUUUUCAAAGAUAAAUCAUCACAAACUUGUUCUCAAUUUUGCUCCGAUCUCUUAUCUUACAAAACAAAUUUCUCAAUCUGCGAUUUCUGGUUCUGAAUCAACAGUUAGUAAUCAUCUUCAUCUCCUUCUACUUAAUGGUGUUUUUUGGUAGAAAUUAGGGUUUCUUUUCGAUAUGAUACUUCUACAACAACACAAUCAAGCAUGCUUCUCAGAUCUGUAUUUUGCUUUGUCUAGUUGACUGGUAAAUCGAAAAUUUGUUGGUAAUCUCGAUUUAAAAUUUUUAGAUUACUUCAUAUCUGAUUUUCAUGUGUUCAAUUCCUAAUCAAUUCAUCUUCCAAAAUUAAAUUUCAUCUUCAUCUUAGUUUCUCGUCAUCAAUUAGUUAUGUCGAUGCUUCCUAAGGGGUUAGAGGAAGCAUUAUAUGUUUAUUUUGAAUUGACGAUCACUGCUGCUGAAAAUUGGUAAAUGUUAUGUUGUUCGUGUUAGUUUCUAUUACGAAAGAGAUAGGGGAACUUCCUUAAAUUGAUCAGUUGAACAUCCUAGGCCUCUGUUGCUGAAUUCUGCUGCACUUUGGAUGCUUAAAUUGCUUUAUUCAGUUUCAUUCAUGCUCUUUACUUCAUCUCCGUACUCACCGAUUAGAUGGUGUUGAUUUCUUCCGCGCGUGUGAGAUGAUAGAGCUAAGUAUGAAGUUUUGAAGUUGAGUUUUGAUUAUGGAUAUAAUCUACGGGUUUUGAUUAUGGAUUAGAGUUGUGUUUGUAUGCAACCUGUUGCUAAGCUUGCAUAUGGUGAAAUAUGCAACCUGUGGUUCUUCUCUCUUAUUGCUGUUAAGUUUCUAUCUUCCUUCUAUUUUGGAAGAAUUUGAAUAAUCCAAGGUGCCUCAAUAAGUCCUUGUGUGCUAAAUAAAACAAGCAGUUUCCAUGCUUCUUACUCACUCUUGCUGUUAUGUUUCGAAUAAUGCUUUCAUUAGUACUUUGAAUAAUAUUGAGAAGAUCUCCCUGAGCAUUUAUACUGGCAAGCUAAUUUCUUACAUGUUGAUGCUUAUAUUGGCAAGAACAGACACGUUUAUAUAGUUGGUGAUUGCUAGAGAUUGCGCAGUAUGUUGGAAUUGGUAUUUUACUUCAUGAUAUUUUGAUGCCGCUGCACUAUCAUCUGCUGUGUCAAUGAUUACUUCCUACAUGUUAUUGGUGCUCUUAGUAGAUAGUUGGAUUCCCAUCCGUUGUGACUACAAGUGUUGCUGCUUUGCUACAAGUGAUACUUCUUAUAUUUCCUAUUAUUCUUGUCAUGCAUCAACUGUUGUUGUCUGCAACUCUGUGCUACAUUAGUUCAGCUGGUUGGCUAUGCCAUUUUGUUAUAAUUGGUUUGUUAUGCACUGUUACCCCUAUUUCUCUGACGGCAUUCUAGGUCAUGGUACUGUUUUGGUUUCACUUUUAUCCACAAUUGUCGUUUUCAUCUGCAAGACUUCUGUAAGAGAAACAUAUAUUGUUAUUCCUAUAUGUUGCUGUAUUCCCUACACUGCCAAAUACCUAUGUCUGCGCCUGCUAUUCUAUUCUGCUGUUUUUUUUUUUGUAUCCAUACUUAGAUGCUACUGCUGACUAUGAUACUAUAUACUUGCGGUACUUCCUUAAGUCCAUGGUCUUUAUUGGAGAUGCUUUCUUGCUUGAGAGGAUUUUAAGUUCUUCAACUGCAGAGACUUUUUGAGUUAGUGUUUUGCAGAGUGUAUGCCGCUUCUCAUUUCCUACAGACCAACUACUACUGCAACACCGACUUACUGCCAGCAUGCAAUGCCUACUAAUCUUGGUAUGACCACUCACAAGCUGCAACAACUUUGUACACUUUCAUUGUCAAGUGACUAUAUGGCUUGUCAUGUGUGCAAGCUCAAUGUCCAUUUGCAAGUCACCUUGACCUUGAGGGGGGAUAAUAGUGUGGGUGACUGUAUGGCUUGUCCUGUGUGAGUGUAAGAGUCAUUGUAUGUGCCAUGAGCACGUGUGAGGUGUGAGAGUGAAUGAGAGUCUGUGAAUGAGUCGAGUGUAUAUACUCAGGUCCCCUGUAACAGACAUCUAGCCUUUUCUAAUCAAUAUAGUCACCUUGACCUUGAGGGGGGAUAAUAGUGUGGGUGACUGUAUGGCUUGUCCUGUGUGAGUGUAAGAGUCAUUGUAUGUGCCAUGAGCACGUGUGAGGUGUGAGAGUGAAUGAGAGUCUGUGAAUGAGUCGAGUGUAUAUACUCAGGUCCCCUGUAACAGACAUCUAGCCUUUUCUAAUCAAUAUAGUCACCUUGACCUUGAGGGGGGAUAAUAGUGUGGGUGACUGUAUGGCUUGUCCUGUGUGAGUGUAAGAGUCAUUGUAUGUGCCAUGAGCACGUGUGAGGUGUGAGAGUGAAUGAGAGUCUGUGAAUGAGUCCAGUGUAUAUACUCAGGUCCCCUGUAACAGACAUCUAGCCUUUUCUAAUCAAUAUAGUCACCUUGACCUUGAGGGGGGAUAAUAGUGUGGGUGACUGUAUGGCUUGUCCUGUGUGAGUGUAAGAGUCGUUGUAUGUGCCAUGAGCACGUGUGAGGUGUGAGAGUGAAUGAGAGUCUGUGAAUGAGUCCAGUGUAUAUACUCAGGUCCCCUGUAACAGACAUCUAGCCUUUUCUAAUCAAUAUAGUCACCUUGACCUUGAGGGGGGAUAAUAGUGUGGGUGACUGUAUGGCUUGUCCUGUGUGAGUGUAAGAGUCGUUGUAUGUGCCAUGAGCACGUGUGAGGUGUGAGAGUGAAUGAGAGUCUGUGAAUGAGUCGAGUGUAUAUACUCAGGUCCCCUGUAACAGACAUCUAGCCUUUUCUAAUCAAUAUAGUCACCUUGACCUUGAGGGGGAUAAUAGUGUGGGUGACUGUAUGGCUUGUCCUGUGUGAGUGUAAGAGUCAUUGUAUGUGCCAUGAGCACGUGUGAGGUGUGAGAGUGAAUGAGAGUCUGUGAAUGAGUCGAGCAUAUGUACUCAGGUCCCCUGUAACAGACAUCUAGCCUUUUCUAAUCAAUAUUAUCAAACCCUUCAUCAAUG